This 395-nucleotide ribosomal RNA is filed under the name uncultured bacterium. RNAcentral describes it as "partial 16S ribosomal RNA". It matches the Rfam family "Bacterial small subunit ribosomal RNA", at positions 355 to 755 of the family's 1533-position model. The record is from RNAcentral.
UGGGGAAUAUUGGCACAAUGGGCGAAAGGCCUGAAUGCAGCAACGCCGCGUGCGGGAUGACGGCCUUCGGGCUUGUAAAACCGCUUUUCAGCAGGGACGAAGGUUUUUCUGACGGUACCUGCAGAAGAAGCACCGGCUAACUACGUGCCAGCAGCCGCGGUGAUACGUAGGGUGCGAGCGUUGUCCGGAAUUAUUGGGCGUAAAGAGCUUGUAGGCGGUCCGUUGCGUCGGAAGUGAAAACUCAGGGCUUAACCCUGAGCCUGCUUUCGAUACGGGCGGACUUGAGGGAUGUAGGGGAGAACGGAAUUCCUGGUGGAGCGGUGGAAUGCGCAGAUAUCAGGAGGAACACCAGUGGCGAAGGCGGUUCUCUGGACAUUUCCUGACGCUGAGAAGCG